AGUGAACGCUGGCGGUAGGCCUAACACAUGCAAGUCGAACGGCAGCACAGUAAGAGCUUGCUCUUACGGGUGGCGAGUGGCGGAUGGGUGAGGAAUACAUCGGAAUCUACUUUUUCGUGGGGGAUAACGUAGGGAAACUUACGCUAAUACCGCAUACGACCUACGGGUGAAAGCAGGGGAUCUUCGGACCUUGCGCGAUUGAAUGAGCCGAUGUCGGAUUAGCUAGUUGGCGGGGUAAAGGCCCACCAAGGCGACGAUCCGUAGCUGGUCUGAGAGGAUGAUCAGCCACACUGGAACUGAGACACGGUCCAGACUCCUACAGGAGGCAGCAGUGGGGAAUAUUGGACAAUGGGCGCAAGCCUGAUCCAGCCAUACCGCGUGGGUGAAGAAGGCCUUCGGGUUGUAGAGCCCUUUUGUUGGGAAAGAAAAGCAGCAGGUUAAUACCCCGCUGUUCUGACGGUACCCAAAGAAUAAGCACCGGCUAACUUCGUG
Molecule: ribosomal RNA, 492 nt
Filed under: uncultured bacterium
Lineage: Bacteria
Description: partial 16S ribosomal RNA
Rfam family: Bacterial small subunit ribosomal RNA
Source: RNAcentral